This 71-nucleotide transfer RNA is filed under the name Nostoc sp. RNAcentral describes it as "tRNA-Gly". It matches the Rfam family "tRNA". Rfam says of the family: Transfer RNA (tRNA) molecules are approximately 80 nucleotides in length. Their secondary structure includes four short double-helical elements and three loops (D, anti-codon, and T loops). Further hydrogen bonds mediate the characteristic L-shaped molecular structure. tRNAs have two regions of fundamental functional importance: the anti-codon, which is responsible for specific mRNA codon recognition, and the 3' end, to which the tRNAs corresponding amino acid is attached (by aminoacyl-tRNA synthetases). tRNAs cope with the degeneracy of the genetic code in two manners: having more than one tRNA (with a specific anti-codon) for a particular amino acid; and 'wobble' base-pairing, i.e. permitting non-standard base-pairing at the 3rd anti-codon position. RNAcentral also lists the same sequence under 3 other names. The record is from RNAcentral. Lineage: Bacteria; Bacillati; Cyanobacteriota; Cyanophyceae; Nostocales; Nostocaceae.
GCGGAUAUGGUGUAAAGGUAGCAUUCGAGUCUUCCAAACUCUAGGCACGAGUUCAAGUCUCGUUAUCCGCU